GCGAAAGUGGCGGAAUUGGUAGACGCGCUGGACUUAGAAUCCAGUGGGAGUUAUCCUGUAGGGGUUCAAAUCCCCUCUUUCGCACCA
Molecule: transfer RNA, 87 nt
Filed under: Candidatus Cloacimonadota bacterium
Lineage: Bacteria; Pseudomonadati; Candidatus Cloacimonadota
Also listed under: 1 other name
Description: tRNA-Leu
Rfam family: tRNA
About the family: Transfer RNA (tRNA) molecules are approximately 80 nucleotides in length. Their secondary structure includes four short double-helical elements and three loops (D, anti-codon, and T loops).
Source: RNAcentral